UACGGAGAGUGCGAACGUUGUUCGGAUUCACUGGGCGUAAAGGGCACGUAGGCGGCUUGGCAAAUCGGUCGUGGAAUCCCGACGCUUACCGUCGGAACGGCGGCCGAAAAUACCGAGCUCGAGGGCGUGAGGGGUCACUGGAACUCCUGGUGAAGCGGUGAAAUGCGUAGAUAUCAGGAGGAACGCCGGAGGCGAAAGCGAGUGACUGGCGCGUUCCUGACGCUGAGGUGCGAAAGCUAGGGGAGCAAAAGGG
RNAcentral lists this ribosomal RNA (253 nucleotides) under uncultured bacterium. Its description in RNAcentral is "partial 16S ribosomal RNA". It matches the Rfam family "Bacterial small subunit ribosomal RNA", at positions 524 to 776 of the family's 1533-position model. The record is from RNAcentral.